This 587-nucleotide long non-coding RNA is filed under the name Callithrix jacchus (white-tufted-ear marmoset). RNAcentral describes it as "lncRNA (ENSCJAG00000070790.1)". Lineage: Eukaryota; Metazoa; Chordata; Mammalia; Primates; Cebidae. The record is from RNAcentral.
GGGAAUGCUACCAAAUAUCCUGCAGUAAACAGGACAAGCCGCUGCAACAACGCUAUAUCUGGACCAAAUACUACCAAAGCUGAGAAAGACUGCUCCGAGGCAGAUGACAGCUUUCAGUCCUUGAUGGAUGGAAGAAGAGGGGACGCCUUCUUCCUGUUCUGGAUUCUGGAAAGCUCAAUGUCUCCUUACAGCUCACCAUUUACAUGAGAAUGUGACAUGCUUGUUAGAAAAAUUUGGAUCAGGUGCAGUGGCUCACACCUGUAAUCACAGUACUUUGGGAAGCUGAAGCAGGUGGAUCAUUUGAGGCCAGGAGUUCAAGACCAGUCUGGCCAAUAUGGUGAAACCCUGUCCCUACUAAAAGUAAAAAAAUGUGUUGGAUAUGAUAGCGGACCUGCAGUCCCAUCUACCUGGGAGGCUGAGACAGAAGAAUCACUUGAACUUGGGAGGCGGAGGUUGCAGUGAGCUGAGAUCGCACCACUGCACUCCAGCCUGGGUGAUCAGAGCAAGACUGUAAAAAAAAAAUUGCUGAUGUUCAAACCGUGUGCAUUUUUCUUUCUCCUUUGUUUUAGUGUGGAACACUUCUAAAC